AUGUUUGGAGCCCUUUAUGCCCUGAAGAUGAAGGAGGAGAAUGUCCUCACAUUCCUUCCAGCAGGAAUCCACUUAGGUGGCACCCACCUUGACUUCCAAAUGAUACACUACAAAAGGAAAAGUGAUGGCAUCUACAUGAUAAAUCUGAAGAGGACCUGCAAGAAGCUUUGGCUGGCAGCUUGUGCCAUUGUUGCCAUUUGGAAACUCAGCUGCUGUCAGUGUCACAUCCUCCAGGAAUGUCAGCCAGCAGGCUAUGCUGAAGUUUGCUGCUGCCACUGGAGCCACUCUUAUUUCUGGUUCCUUUGCUAACCAGAUCCAGGUAGCCUUCUGGGAGCCAUGUCUUCUGAUGGUUACUGAUCCCAGGGCUGACCACACACCUUUCACAGGGCUAUCGUAUGUUAAACUGACUACCAUUGCUCUGUGUCACACAUACUCUCCUCUACGCUAUGUGAUCAUCACCAUCUCAUGCAAUGACAAGGGGGCUCACUCAGUGGGUCCAAUGUGGUGGAUCUUGGCCUGGGAAGUUCUGCACAUGCACGGCACCAUCUUCUGUGAGCACCCAUGGGAGGUCAUGCCUGAUGACUACUUCUGCAGA
Molecule: long non-coding RNA, 595 nt
Filed under: Homo sapiens (human)
Lineage: Eukaryota; Metazoa; Chordata; Mammalia; Primates; Hominidae
Description: non-protein coding lnc-FOXD3-5:1
Source: RNAcentral